UACGAAGGGGGCUAGCGUUGCUCGGAAUUACUGGGCGUAAAGCGCACGUAGGCGGUCUUUUAAGUCGGGGGUGAAAUCCUGGAGCUCAACUCCAGAACUGCCUUCGAUACUGGAAGACUCGAGUCCGGGAGAGGUGAGUAGAACUGCGAGUGUAGAGGUGAAAUUCGUAGAUAUUCGCAAGAACACCAGUGGCGAAGGCGGCUCACUGGCCCGGUACUGACGCUGAGGUGCGAAAGCGUGGGGAGCAAACAGG
Molecule: ribosomal RNA, 253 nt
Filed under: uncultured bacterium
Lineage: Bacteria
Description: partial 16S ribosomal RNA
Rfam family: Bacterial small subunit ribosomal RNA
Source: RNAcentral